Molecule: non-coding RNA, 122 nt
Organism: Picea glauca (white spruce)
Lineage: Eukaryota; Viridiplantae; Streptophyta; Pinopsida; Pinales; Pinaceae
Source: Rfam
AUGAAAUAUAAUUCAUAUAGUGCUAAUGCAGUGGAUCCCAUUAGAACUGCACAGUUAAGUGUGAUUGGGCUAGAGUAUUACUGGGAUGGGUGACUUCUUGGUAAUUCCUAGAGUUUUACAUG